RNAcentral lists this ribosomal RNA (535 nucleotides) under uncultured Acidobacteriota bacterium. RNAcentral describes it as "bacterial SSU rRNA". It matches the Rfam family "Bacterial small subunit ribosomal RNA", at positions 372 to 896 of the family's 1533-position model. Lineage: Bacteria; Pseudomonadati; Acidobacteriota. The record is from RNAcentral.
UGGGCGCAAGCCUGACGACGCAACGCCGCGUGGAGGAUGAAGAUUUUUCGGAUCGUAAACUCCUGUCGAAUGGGACGAAUGGCCUGGCCGUGAACAACGGCCGGGAAUGACGGUACCGUGAGAGGAAGCCCCGGCUAACUCCGUGCCAGCAGCCGCGGUAAUACGGGGGGGGCAAGCGUUGUUCGGAAUUACUGGGCGUAAAGGGCUCGUAGGUGGCCACCUAAGUCCGACGUGAAAUCCCUCGGCUCAACCGGGGAACUGCGUCGGAUACUGGGUGGCUUGAAUCCGGGAGAGGGACGUGGAAUUCCAGGUGUAGCGGUGAAAUGCGUAGAUAUCUGGAGGAACACCGGUGGCGAAGGCGGCGUCCUGGACCGGUAUUGACACUGAGGAGCGAAAGCCAGGGGAGCAAACGGGAUUAGAUACCCCGGUAGUCCUGGCCCUAAACGAUGAGUGCUUGGUGUGGCGGGUAUCGAUCCCCGCUGUGCCGGAGCUAACGCGUUAAGCACUCCGCCUGGGGAGUACGGUCGCAAGGCUG